UACGGAGGGUGCAAGCGUUAUCCGGAUUCACUGGGUUUAAAGAGCUCGUAGGCGGUUUGGCAAGUCGGGUGUGAAAUUUCGAGGCUCAACCUCGAAACGCCACUCGAUACUGCCAUGACUGGAGUCCGGUAGAGGAGUGCGGAAUUCCUGGUGUAGCGGUGAAAUGCGCAGAUAUCAGGAGGAACACCAACGGCGAAGGCAGCACUCUGGGCCGGUACUGACGCUGAGGAGCGAAAGCGUGGGGAGCAAACAGG
Molecule: ribosomal RNA, 254 nt
Filed under: uncultured bacterium
Lineage: Bacteria
Description: partial 16S ribosomal RNA
Rfam family: Bacterial small subunit ribosomal RNA
Source: RNAcentral